AGCAUAGCCCCUCGAAAAAGAGGGAUUAAUAAUCCCGUAAUAUUAUGAAGUGGCAUCGCUUUAUAAUUAUAGCUCCGGCGCUUAGAGAUGGGCGUGCGUCUGAUUAGGUAGUUGGUGAGGUAAUGGCUCACCAAGCCUGCGAUCAGUAACUGGCGUGAGAGCGCGACCAGUCACACGGGCACUGAGACACGGGCCCGACUCCUACGGGAGGCAGCAGUAAGGAAUAUUGGUCAAUGGACGCAAGUCUGAACCAGCCAUGCCGCGUGAAGGAUGAAGGCCCUCUGGGUUGUAAACUUCUUUUAUCUGGGAAGAAACUCCUGCAUUCCUGCGGGAUUGACGGUACCAGAGGAAUAAGCACCGGCUAACUCCGUGC
RNAcentral lists this ribosomal RNA (373 nucleotides) under uncultured Flexibacter sp. RNAcentral describes it as "bacterial SSU rRNA". It matches the Rfam family "Bacterial small subunit ribosomal RNA", at positions 140 to 508 of the family's 1533-position model. Lineage: Bacteria; Pseudomonadati; Bacteroidota; Cytophagia; Cytophagales; Flexibacteraceae. The record is from RNAcentral.